RNAcentral lists this long non-coding RNA (1053 nucleotides) under Astyanax mexicanus (Mexican tetra). RNAcentral describes it as "lncRNA (ENSAMXG00005010101.1)". Lineage: Eukaryota; Metazoa; Chordata; Actinopteri; Characiformes; Acestrorhamphidae. The record is from RNAcentral.
GGCUGCCGUGGAAACCUGUGACAGGAGCUAAUGCAGAUCUGCUGCAGGAUCCUGCUACCUGAGGGGUCUUCACCUGAGCACCAUGGUGAUUACAGGCGAGUUCAGAACAUCUAACAGAAUUCUGCAGCUCGCUCAGCACAAGGAAUCCAAAUCUAUAUGGGUCACCACUCCCGGUAGGAAGCUGACGUGGGGGAACCAGGAGUCAAUAUGGCUGCUCUCCUUGGGGGCGUUAGGAGCCGUUCCCUCUCCGAGGAUUCAGACUUUAGCCCAAAAUAAACCAGAUUUCUCCAACCUGAACCAGAACCUGCACCUGAACCUGUUCAGGGAAAGGGAGGAGGGGGCGGCGAAGACCUCCCGCCCUUCCUGUCGCGAGACCCAGUACGAGCAGGCCGCCCGCAUGGCGACCCCCAGGGCCCGGUCCAGGAGCUCCCAGGUUGUGAGUCCUCUUUCAGACUGGUGUGAGUACAGCUGUCCUGUGUGGCACAUCAGCCCCGGGGUGCAGAAAACCCUCGUAUCUCCCCGUAUCGUCCAACUGGCCCGCCCCAAAACCACACACCCCGACUUCAGGGUCAACCGCCAGGCAGUAGAAACACACAUCACCCACGCAGCUAAAACAGCUCGGAUCACCUCCAGACUGGAGCAGUUGUGUUUACCCAAACUCAGAGAGAGCAGCCUGUUCUACCCUCCCAGCCGCCCCGAGAGCCCCAUCCGGCCUGUGUCGAGAGGAGCGAGCAGGGCGACAGCUAGCGCUCGUGUGAGACAGCUGUCCACCCCCAAGUCCCUCUGUAAGGACUACAUCCCCCCACGGGACCUGGACUGAGCAUAAAAUCUACAUUGAUCAGCCAGAACAUUAAAACCACCUGCCUAACAUUGUGUACUGUAGAUAUCCUUCAUCCCACCAUAUUUAUCAACAAACCUUUAGAGGAAUCACUGCAAUAUGACUUCAAAUAAGUUUGUCUCUAUUAUUUUUUUACUCUUAUUUCAUCAAACAAAUGCUUUUUUAUGCCAUAUGCAUAUCCCCAGUGUAUAUUUAUAGAGAAAGAGAAAAUGGAG